Long non-coding RNA from Pan paniscus (pygmy chimpanzee), 586 nucleotides. NCBI's taxonomy places the organism in Eukaryota, Metazoa, Chordata, Mammalia, Primates, Hominidae. The record is from Ensembl.
CUGAGAAACUGGAUUUUUGACCCUCUUUCUUCACCUCAGAAUUUUUGGCCUUUGGGGGUAAGUUUGCAUAGACCUGCUUACCACAGAAUAAUCAUUAACAGGAGUAACUCUAGAAAGCUGACCCUGAGGAUUCUAGAACUGUUUACUCACUGAUUAAAAAGUAAUAAAGAUUCCCCUACCAGUACGGAGUGAAAUUGUGAUAACUCCUGGCACAACCAUUAAGACCCUCAUCUAUAGUGAAUUGGAACAAAGCACAGGUUAAAAAGAAGAAUGAAAACCCCUCAAGCCAGAUUUUAUGACUUUUUAUAUCACACUGAAAAGUCCAAUGAACUACAGAUUUGAACCAUGGAGAUUUGUGCCCUACUAUGAAACGGUGACUGUAACACAGAUUGAUGAAAGAUUCUGCAGGACGACAAAGGUUAAAGAUGCAGACCCGGAGCUAGAAGCCAGCACUGACACUGAUGGAGUGGACUGCGAUGAGAAUUCCCACAUUAUUGUCCUAUCCUCUGAUAACCAAUGUAAUAUGAAAACCGACUACAGAAGAAAGGAACAAAUUAAAUCCAUUAAUCAAGCAUAUCUCUGCUAA